This 253-nucleotide ribosomal RNA is filed under the name uncultured bacterium. Its description in RNAcentral is "partial 16S ribosomal RNA". It matches the Rfam family "Bacterial small subunit ribosomal RNA", at positions 524 to 776 of the family's 1533-position model. The record is from RNAcentral.
UACGAAGGGGGCUAGCGUUGUUCGGAUUUACUGGGCGUAAAGCGCACGUAGGCGGAUUGGUCAGUUAGGGGUGAAAUCCUGGAGCUCAACUCCAGAACUGCCUUUAAUACUGCCAGUCUCGAGUCCGGAAGAGGUAAGUGGAACUCCUAGUGUAGAGGUGGAAUUCGUAGAUAUUAGGAAGAACACCAGUGGCGAAGGCGGCUCACUGGACCGGUAUUGACGCUGAGGUGCGAAAGCGUGGGGAGCAAACAGG